This 552-nucleotide ribosomal RNA is filed under the name uncultured bacterium. RNAcentral's name for it is "partial 16S ribosomal RNA". It matches the Rfam family "Bacterial small subunit ribosomal RNA", at positions 355 to 914 of the family's 1533-position model. The record is from RNAcentral.
UGGGGAAUAUUGCACAAUGGGCGCAAGCCUGAUGCAGCGACGCCGCGUGAGGGAUGACGGCCUUCGGGUUGUAAACCUCUUUCAGUAGGGACGAAGCGCAAGUGACGGUACCUAUAGAAGAAGGACCGGCCAACUACGUGCCAGCAGCCGCGGUAAUACGUAGGGUCCGAGCGUUGUCCGGAAUUACUGGGCGUAAAGAGCUCGUAGGUGGUUUGUCGCGUUGUUCGUGAAAACUCACAGCUUAACUGUGGGCGUGCGGGCGAUACGGGCAGACUGGAGUACUGCAGGGGAGACUGGAAUUCCUGGUGUAGCGGUGGAAUGCGCAGAUAUCAGGAGGAACACCGGUGGCGAAGGCGGGUCUCUGGGCAGUAACUGACGCUGAGGAGCGAAAAGCGUGGGGAGCGAACAGGAUUAGAUACCCUGGUAGUCCACGCCGUAAAACGGUGGGUACUAGGUGUGGGGUUUCCUUCCUUGGGAUCCGUGCCGUAGCUAACGCAUUAAGUACCCCGCCUGGGGAGUACGGCCGCAAGGCUAAAACUUAAAGGAAUUGAC